GGAUUGUGGCUCAGGGGCAGAGCACUCGCCUAGCAUGCUCGAGGACCUGGGUUCAAUCCUCAGCACCA
RNAcentral lists this transfer RNA (68 nucleotides) under Marmota monax (woodchuck). Its description in RNAcentral is "tRNA.Ala". Lineage: Eukaryota; Metazoa; Chordata; Mammalia; Rodentia; Sciuridae. The record is from RNAcentral.